RNAcentral lists this long non-coding RNA (2272 nucleotides) under Drosophila guanche. The record is from RNAcentral. Lineage: Eukaryota; Metazoa; Arthropoda; Insecta; Diptera; Drosophilidae.
GCCUUUUAGUCGUAGUCUAAUUUUAUUUUUUUGAUGCUUCAUUUGCUUCAUACUCCUCUUCCAUCUUCAUCUCCAACUUCUUCCUCUACUCCAAUUCCAUCUCCAUCUUCUCUUUCUCCUUUUGUCUACUUAGAAUUAAUAAUUUUUGUUUCUUUUUCCUCUUUUGCCGCUUCAUCAUAUCAUCCAUUCACUGGGCACUUGCAUUUUUUUUCGACAUCUUAUUUUUUGUUCUUCUCCGUUUCCACUUCUUAUUCCUCUUUUUCGUCUGUGUUUCCACUUCUUAUUAAUUUUCUUGUAAUACAAUAUGUUUUUUUUUGUAGGUACUCUUUAUGUAUAUAUUUUGUUCUUCUCUUUUGUUUCUUAGCUUUUUUUACGGGUUUGUUGUUGUUCAUUUUGAUAAUUUCUAUUACAAAAUAAAAAUCAAAAAGCCAGUGGCAUGGAUUGGAAUGGGCGGAUGGGGGAAUAAGGGUUUGGCUGGGUGGCUCUUUUUAUACCCGUUACUCGAAGAGCAAAAGGGGUAUAUUAGGGCGUCUGGAUCUCAGAGACUACAGCAACCAUAUUUUGCAUUCAGAGCUGACAUAUGUACCACACAGUAACAAGUGAAGAUUUGAAGAUACGAUAAAACGAAAGACGCAGUUCUGUAGAGAUUGGCCAUAUUUAUCAGAAUCCCGAAUUAGGGACAGAUUGAAUUAUUGGUAGAGCUUUCUCAUUCUGCCUCGUGUAGAGUGGUGGAGGGGAGCGAGUUAAAUAUUGGUGUUGGUUUGAGAAGUAAUAUGGAUGGAUAUGGAAAAAAUUUGAAAAAUUCGUAAGCUUACACACUGAUGUAUAUUACGUACAUUCUAACUGAGUAUCCGGUAUUUAAGUUUUGAAGCGCACGGAAGCGUCUCACAACGUUCCUCAUCGCUUGUUUUAAUUUGGCAAAUGAUUUGGCAGGUGGGUGACCGACCCGACCUGCUCACUGCCACUCUACCUCACUCACCUCACUCUUUUCUCUCUCGUGGCCCCACCUCUCUAUCACUGUGUGUGUGUGUGUUUUUUUUUGUGUGCUCUUGUGUGGGUGUAGGGGUGUGUUCAUUGGAAGCAUCUUUAUCGAAAUAACAUUGUAAUUGCUUUUUGAUAAAUGAAGCACGCGCUGCACAACUGACAGCCAAAAAAAGCAACUAAAACAAACAGCAAGAGAUGUGAAAGAGGAGGGAGUGCUAAGUGUUAGCGAGAAGGGGGAAAAAAAUAAACGAAAACAAUCUUAUAAGUAUGCCAGCCGCCCCCUAAGAGCACGAUAAACGUUCCAGGGAUUACCCUAGAGUUUAGCAAAAAUAUAAAUAAAUCGCGAUUGGAUAUUGGAAGACAUCGACUCCGAGAAUACCUGGAGCAAACACACUGUAAGACACGAUUGGAAAGAAGUAAAAUAUAGCUUGGAAUGGACCUUGGUGGGCUGGAAAGGCUUUGAUAGAAUGUGCGGUUUCGGGAAUCGACUUCAAACUGAACCACAGCUUCGAAGGUCCAAAGAGCCAAAGGCCCUAUAAUUCGUAUUCAUUCAUUAUAGGGUAUUGAAGGUGUUUAUCCGCUUUGAUUUGAUUUUUUGUUUUUUUUUGUCCGUCGUAAAUGCCCUUGUCCCAUCAUGGUAUUGGGGUUAUAAAAGAAAAAUCGCUUGGACAUAUCACUCAAGAGAUGGCAAUGCACCAAUCCCAUCCCUCUAAUUACCAUUCUCCACUACAACCACCACGCACCCUCCUCCUCAUCGCAUCUGGAUGGUGCAGCAAAUAGAGGGGAGGGCGAUAGAGGGUACCACGCACUCGCUGGGAAGACAAUUUAAAAUGUUGAAAAAUGCUCAGCUAAUUGGCAGUUGACAGAGUCGAGAGCCUGGGAUUGGCUUGCCCCACAAAGCCCAAGAGGACAGGGUGGGAGAGCAGUGGGACACUGCGAGAGUGCCACGGAUAGGAUGGGGCACGACGGGUGAUGGAAUGGGUGAUGGUUGUAGGGGCAUAUAAAUUUAAUUUGGUUUAUAAAAAGUGCUUGAGAAUGUGGAAUGGGGUGACGGAGAACAUGGUCCACCAACGAGCGCUGAAGCGGCCUGAAGUGGCCGAGGCGAACAACAGCUGAAGGGGGUAGGGGGGUCGGUGUGUGUGUGGGAUGGAUUGAUGGUUGGAUGAAUGCUGCUGCUGCAGGGGCAAGUAGCAAGAGGUGGAACGGGUGCAGAUUGAAACCGGGUCUAAUGGCAGCCAAGUGGCCGCCAAAUCCAUCUGAGAUGGACUCGUACCCCGUUUGACCCAAC